GACGAACGCUGGCGGCGUGCUUAACACAUGCAAGUCGAACGGAAAGGCCCUGCUUUUGUGGGGUGCUCGAGUGGCGAACGGGUGAGUAACACGUGAGUAACCUGCCCUUGACUUUGGGAUAACUUCAGGAAACUGGGGCUAAUACCGGAUAGGAGCUCCUGCUGCAUGGUGGGGGUUGGAAAGUUUCGGCGGUUGGGGAUGGACUCGCGGCUUAUCAGCUUGUUGGUGGGGUAGUGGCUUACCAAGGCUUUGACGGGUAGCCGGCCUGAGAGGGUGACCGGCCACAUUGGGACUGAGAUACGGCCCAGACUCCUACGGGAGGCAGCAGUGGGGAAUAUUGCACAAUGGGCGGAAGCCUGAUGCAGCAACGCCGCGUGCGGGAUGACGGCCUUCGGGUUGUAAACCGCUUUCGCCUGUGACGAAGCGUGAGUGACGGUAAUGGGUAAAGAAGCACCGGCUAACUACGUGCCAGCAGCCGCGGUGAUACGUAGGGUGCGAGCGUUGUCCGGAUUUAUUGGGCGUAAAGGGCUCGUAGGUGGUUGAUCGCGUCGGAAGUGUAAUCUUGGGGCUUAACCCUGAGCGUGCUUUCGAUACGGGUUGACUUGAGGAAGGUAGGGGAGAAUGGAAUUCCUGGUGGAGCGGUGGAAUGCGCAGAUAUCAGGAGGAACACCAGUGGCGAAGGCGGUUCUCUGGGCCUUUCCUGACGCUGAGGAGCGAAAGCGUGGGGAGCGAACAGGCUUAGAUACCCUGGUAGUCCACGCUGUAAACGGUGGGUACUAGGUGUGGGGUCCAUUCCACGGGUUCCGUGCCGUAGCUAACGCUUUAAGUACCCCGCCUGGGGAGUACGGCCGCAAGGCUAAAACUCAAAGGAAUUGACGGGGCCCCGCACAAGCGGCGGAGCAUGCGGAUUAAUUCGAUGCAACGCGUAGAACCUUACCUGGGUUUGACAUGGAUCGGGAGUGCUCAGAGAUGGGUGUGCCUCUUUUGGGGUCGGUUCACAGGUGGUGCAUGGCUGUCGUCAGCUCGUGUCGUGAGAUGUUGGGUUAAGUCCCGCAACGAGCGCAACCCUUGUUCACUGUUGCCAGCACGUUAUGGUGGGGACUCAGUGGAGACCGCCGGGGUCAACUCGGAGGAAGGUGGGGAUGACGUCAAGUCAUCAUGCCCCUUAUGUCCAGGGCUUCACGCAUGCUACAAUGGCUGGUACAGAGAGUGGCGAGCCUGUGAGGGUGAGCGAAUCUCGGAAAGCCGGUCUCAGUUCGGAUUGGGGUCUGCAACUCGACCUCAUGAAGUCGGAGUCGCUAGUAGUCGCAGAUCAGCAACGCUGCGGUGAAUACGUUCCCGGGGCU
This 1346-nucleotide ribosomal RNA is filed under the name uncultured bacterium. Its description in RNAcentral is "partial 16S ribosomal RNA". It matches the Rfam family "Bacterial small subunit ribosomal RNA", at positions 28 to 1381 of the family's 1533-position model. The record is from RNAcentral.